This is a long non-coding RNA of Mugil cephalus (flathead mullet), 704 nucleotides long. RefSeq lists it as uncharacterized. The transcript has 3 exons. The record is from RefSeq and is a predicted model, not a curated record. Lineage: Eukaryota; Metazoa; Chordata; Actinopteri; Mugiliformes; Mugilidae.
CCCCGCCGCUGCAAGCUAAAGCAGACUGCAGCUGCAGAAGACUCCUUGUUUUUCGCCUGGAGUCCUGUGUCUCUGACCAGUAAAUCUGUGGAUCUGUGAUCUGAACAGAGCUUUGGAACUGGAGAUUGCCAACCCUUUCUGAAGGGAGCAGGAGCAGCAGACUGGUGUGGCUCGGUACACGGCCCAUUCAACCUCCGUUGCAAAGCAGCAUUACCGGAUGAGGACGCGCCAGGAGACCGGUGUCACUGGGAACGUGCUGCAGAGCUUUAGAAGCUCAAAGACAUUCUUGUCAAAGCCCUCAGCGAGCUCUUGAGGAGCAGUAAACACAUUGGUCUUCAAACCUCAGACUUUCGUUCUUGGGCAAUGAAAACAUCUGAAUUUUCAGUCCUUCAGUCCGACUUGUGGGACCCUCCAGGGAUGCUUCCAGGACUGUCCAGGGACAUUCAGGAUAAGCCGGACAAAACAAUUUCCCUGCAUUGUUGGGCCCAGCCACGCAUUUAGUUCCAAUUUCCGAUUCCACACAGAGAUCAAAACGGAUCUCUGUGUGGAAUCGGUGUGGAGUCAGUGCUCACUGCGCCCUCUAUCAGACAGCAGUGGACACAUUGGUGGACUGGUGGAGGGGACAGGUGACUUCCCUCUCUCUAAACUGGAGUUACAUGAGGAGACGAUUCCAGCUGCAGUCUGUCCCCCCCUGAAAAUGCCUU